Molecule: RNA transcript, 3889 nt
Organism: Microplitis demolitor
Lineage: Eukaryota; Metazoa; Arthropoda; Insecta; Hymenoptera; Braconidae
Exons: 3
Source: RefSeq, a predicted model, not a curated record
UUUUUUUAAAAUUGGAUAUUUUUUUUUGCAUUAGAUUCGCUCGAACUUCUUUGAGGAGUAAAGGUAACCGAUUUUCAAUUCAAUUUAAUUCAUGGACAAACACUAGAAACCUAAAAUAGAAAAUCAUUAGUGUUUUUUAUAACCUUAAUAAAGAGCUAGAAAUUUCGUAUUUUCAAAAAUUCUAAUUCGUCUUCGAGAAAAAUUGUUUUCAAAUUCUCAUUUGCUUUACGAGUGCAACAAAGACAGUCCUGUUUAUUAUUCUGAGUGUGAAAAAGAGGUCCGGUAGCGUAUCCCCUUAACGGAGGCUUAUAACGAGCUGUCUCGUACGAAACUGUUGGUGGUGGGUGAAGCUGUUUGGACUCAGUAACUGCCGACUGGGAAAAAAAGCUUAUGGCGGGCAUAUAUCGGGUAGUCGACUGUAAUUCUCGUGCCCAUUGCGCAUGAGUGUUUAUAUUCAUGAAUGGUCGCCAAGCAUUCGGUAUAAUUUCCAAUACAAUACACACAAUUAUCGUACGAAUUUGAUUCCUAUAGUGUUGUUAAUUAUUUUAGAUACUAAUUAAUAUCUAAAUCAUCAGAGAAAUCAAGUUAUUUAAAUAUCAAAUAUUAAUGAAUGAUCAUGGUGCGAAAAUCAAAAAAUUUAAAAAGCGUUGCGGUUCAAACAAAUUUGACAUCCGACGAUUUUGAAGAUAAAGAUUCGAUUGUUUUGAAGGAUUCGACAAUAAAAUCAACAAAUAAUUGCAAAGUAAUAACAAUAAAACAAAAACCCAAAAGAAAAAGUUAUUCAUAUGAAGAAAAAUUGAAAGUUAUUAAAUUACUUAAAUACAAAUCUACAGAUAAAGUUAGCGAGGAACUAGAUAUUGAUAAGUCGCUACUGUGUAGAUGGGCUAGAGAUGAAUCAAAAAUAAAAGAAUUCAAUGCUCAUAAUCAUAACAAAAAACUUAAGAAAGGCAGGAGUGCUGCUAAUGAGGAGAUGGAAGAAAGACUAUUCUCUUGGUUCUGUGAAAGCCGCGCUGAUAAUAUUCCAAUAUCUGGUAAUUCCAUUAAAAAAGAAGCAUUAAGAUUAAGUGAAGAAUUAGGCGAUUCCUCUUUUAAGGCGAGUGCUGGUUGGUUAGCUCGAUGGAAAAAACGAUAUACAGUUAAAUUACAGCCCGCCAGUGAUUAAUCUCGAUCAAAAUUAAUAUUUAUGAACCUCCUGUUGAUUAUUCGCAACCAUUGAAGAAUAUUGUGAUCCAGAAUUCAAAAAAGACAACAAUUUUGUAAUGAUUGAAGAUUCCACUGACUGAGAUCAUAAAAAUUGUCAUUGGCAAUCACAAUCUAGAUACAACUUGAACUAUCAGGUGACUAGUCUACUUGUACUGCCGCAGCCUCACAGAGAAUGACCAGCAAAUUGACAUAAACUGAUACACAAGCCAACUCAUUGCAUUCAACAGCAGCAAGCGACAGCAGACUUCCAGCUUAUCAACUUGGCUAUCAGAGAAUAAAAUCAGCUAAACCUUGUGAAUUAAGACGCCUUCAUCGAUGCCCAGAAAUUCAUAGAAAUCAAAGUAAUAUUUGGAUGAUACUGGGGAUUGAGACUUGGUUUGAAAAAAGUUCUAUGAGUGAUAAUUUUCAGAAGACAAUAGAUGUCAUCAAGCAAUUUUAAUAGAUCGCGUGUCAAAGUUGAAGGCAUUUAAGUUCUUUGUCUCCGAAUGUAACUUCUAGUUCAACAUCUAGACCAGGGAUUCCAGCACGAAAAGUUCAAUGUGAAUCUCAAUUCACGAAGGACAAGAUCAGGAAAUGUUUAUACUGUUUUCUAAAAGCAAUAAUAUUCUGGUUGGCUGAAGCAAGAGAGGAAAUAUCUCACGAUCUACAAGACUGAUGGAAAUGUAGAUCUGUCUUUUAGAUUCAAUUAUCGCCGGAUCAAACAGUAUAUAAUGCAUUAGAACGAAAAAAAAUGAAGUAGGAGAAAGUAAAUAUUUUGCAUAGUGAUUUUUUAAAUUAAUAAUAUAGCGUAGGGUGGGUCAAAAAAAAUAACUAAUUUUUUUUUUCUUUAGUUACCGUGAAAAUAUCGUUAAAGAUGAUGAAAAAAAAAAUUCUGGUAAAGUUUGAGCUCUUAAUAUCAAUAUUAAGAGGUGGCGAAUCGUGAUUCUUGAUUUCUCAUUUAAAUAACAUGGAAAAAAAUUUUUUUUAAGUUUGGAAUUUUAUAUCUUGACAUUGGCUCAUUAUACAGAUAAGUUCGAGACAGAUAUUUGUAAAGAAUUGAAUGCUCCAGACAGAUAUUUAUAAAGAUUUGAAUGCUCCACAAAAAAAGUCUGUUAUUAUUUUUUGAUAAAUCCAUCUGUUCAAAAGUUAUGAAAGCUUGAUGUCAAAUUUAUCGUGAAUUUCUAGAUCUUUUUACUUUUCCGAUGAAACUAUCAGACUUAUUACAAAAUGUCAUGAAAUUUUUUUUGUAGACAAUUUUAUUCUCUACAAAUUAUCUCUGAUAAAGUUUUUUAAAACUCCGCAUUGUUUUCUAGUUAUUUCCAUUUCAAUGCCAAGCUCUUAAAAAAAGGAGUGUUCAGAUCGAUUUCAGAAGCUUGACAUUAAAAUGAAAAUAAUUAGAAACCAAUGCGGAAUUUCAAAAAACUUUAUAAGAGGUAAUUUGUAAGGAAUAAAAUUUUUUACAACAAUGAUCUUGUGACAUUUUGUGAUAAGUCUGAUAGUUUCGUCGGAAAAGUAAAAAGAUCUAGAAAUUCAUGAUAAAUUUCACAUCAAGCUCUAAUAAUUUUUUUAGAGAUGGAUUUAUCAAAAAAUGAUAAGAGACUUUUUUUGUGGAGCAUUCAAUUCCUUACAAAUAUCUGUCUCGAACUUAUCUGUAUAAUGAGCCGAUGUCAAGGUAUAACAUUCCAAACUUAAAAAAAAAUUUUUUCCAUGUUAUUUCAAUGGGAAAUCAAAAAUCACGAAGCAACAUCUCUUCAUAUUAAUAUUAAGAGCUCAAACUACCAGAAUUUUUUUUUUCAUUAUCUUUAACAAUAUUUUCACAGUAACUAAAGAAAAAAAAAUUAGUUCUAUUUUUGGCCCACCCUAAUACAGAGGUCUAUUAAACUGACACUGACUACGGAACCUAAUCAAGAAUAACAAGACCAGAUUAUCUAUCUAUAGGCAAUCAAUCAUAGCGACAAUUAAUUCGACUAUUGUGUAAUCUAAUCAAGUCUGAUAUUGCUAAAGAUUUAGAGCUCUUGUGUUGCUGUAAUUACUUGUAAUAGUUCUCAUUUUUUACACGCUACAUUGAUAUUCAUUUUGGUGUUAAAUAUAACGAUAUAAAUUGAAUUUUUCGAAUAAUUUAUAGAUAACAUUCGAUUUCAAUAGGAGGUUUGUUGGACUUAAGAAAAACCGUGCUAUCAUGGGCCCGUUUUACAAUCCGUGAUUUUAUUAAUCUAGAAGUAAAUUAUUAUUUAAUUGCUGGCAUCGUAUAUUUACAAUAUAUAUAAAUAUACUAGAAAUAUUAAUGAAAUCUCGAAUUGAAAACACUGGCCCAGGUCAUCAUUAUUCAUAAGAAUAAUAAUAACAGCACUGCUUGUGAUGGCGUGUAAAAUACUUGUAAAUAUAUUUAAUAGAAUAUAAGUUAUAAUUAUUUUUUUAUUUUCAUUUAUAUAUUUUAGAACACAUUAUUUUGUAUAAUAAUAUGUUUAAUUAACUCAAAAAUUUAUUUUAUUUUUGGAAUAAAAAAUAACUGAGUCAGAAACCAGAACAUGGUCAAUAACUGGGCUACUUAAAAUAUUUUUCUACAGAUUUAAUAAUUUUUAUUUUGUAAUAUAAUACUUUAUCAAUAAUUAUAAAUAUCAAAAUAAAGCUCAAUUCAUCUACUAUUCAUAUAAAUGAUUUUGUUAAAUUAUUUUAAUAAACAAAAUAUAUAAAGAGAAUUACUAGA